This 484-nucleotide ribosomal RNA is filed under the name uncultured bacterium. Its description in RNAcentral is "partial 16S ribosomal RNA". It matches the Rfam family "Bacterial small subunit ribosomal RNA", at positions 30 to 507 of the family's 1533-position model. The record is from RNAcentral.
AUUGAACGCUGGCGGCAGGCCUAACACAUGCAAGUCGAGCGGAUGAAGGGAGCUUGCUCCUGGAUUCAGCGGCGGACGGGUGAGUAAUGCCUAGGAAUCUGCCUGGUAGUGGGGGAUAACGUCCGGAAACGGGCGCUAAUACCGCAUACGUCCUGAGGGAGAAAGUGGGGGAUCUUCGGACCUCACGCUAUCAGAUGAGCCUAGGUCGGAUUAGCUAGUUGGUGGGGUAAAGGCCUACCAAGGCGACGAUCCGUAACUGGUCUGAGAGGAUGAUCAGUCACACUGGAACGGGGACACGGUCCAGACUCCUACGGGAGGAAGCAGUGGGGAACAUUGGACAAUGGGCGAAAGCCUGAUCCAGCCAUGCCGCGGGUGUGAAGAAGGUCUUCGGAUUGUAAAGCACUUUAAGUUGGGAGGAAGGGCAGUAAGUUAAUACCUUGCUGUUUUGACGUUACCAACAGAAUAAGCACCGGCUAACUUCGUG